AAAGAUUAAGCCAUGCAUGUCUAAGUAUAAGCAAUUAUACAGCGAAACUGCGAAUGGCUCAUUAUAUAAGUUAUCGUUUAUUUGAUAGUACCUUACUACUUGGAUAACCGUGGUAAUUCUAGAGCUAAUACAUGCUAAAAAUCCCGACUUCGGAAGGGAUGUAUUUAUUAGAUUAAAAACCAAUGCCCUUCGGGGCUCACUGGUGAUUCAUGAUAACUCCUCGAAUCGCAUGGCCUUGUGCCGGCGAUGGUUCAUUCAAAUUUCUUCCCUAUCAACUUUCGAUGUUUGGGUAUUGGCCAAACAUGGUUG
Molecule: ribosomal RNA, 309 nt
Filed under: uncultured Fusarium
Lineage: Eukaryota; Fungi; Ascomycota; Sordariomycetes; Hypocreales; Nectriaceae
Description: SSU rRNA
Rfam family: Eukaryotic small subunit ribosomal RNA
Source: RNAcentral